Molecule: long non-coding RNA, 4308 nt
Organism: Cercocebus atys (sooty mangabey)
Lineage: Eukaryota; Metazoa; Chordata; Mammalia; Primates; Cercopithecidae
Exons: 3
Source: RefSeq, a predicted model, not a curated record
AGUGAGCCAUGAUUGCACCACUGCACUCCAGACUGGGCAACAGAGUGAGACCCUAUCUGAAAAAAAAAGCAACACGUUACAAUGUUAUGAUGGGCCAGAUACAAUUUUGUAUUAGAAUCUAGUAUAGACAGUGUUUGUGACUACCAAAGAUUAAAGAAAGAAAAGCAAAAAGGCAGGAGAACACCCUAAGCACACAAAUAAUUCUACACCUAAUUCUCUCUGUAGAUUGGGAAAGGGCCAUUGCUACUUUAGGUGAUCAUGGUUUGGGUUCUUUGUUCUAUUAGGAGAAGUCAGUAUGGAAGCAAAUUGAACAUGGUGGGUUAGAAGUCCUUACAAAGUUUACCUUUCAGGUGACAGCUCUCUUCCUGUGCUUUUCUCCUCCAAAAUUUCCAGCUCUUCUCUAUUGCAGAUAGGUUGGAAACUUAACGACUUACCCGCACCUGCUACUCAGUGCUCACAUUCUGGCUCAUACACAAUACAGCUCCCCAUUUCACUCCACGACAUGCUCUGCCCUAGCCACUCAGAACUGUGUUCUGUCCCCAUUCCCACCUAGACAUGCUCAGCAUCUUUCUCCACACAUUUUCCCACAACAGUUCUUCCCUCACAGCCCCAUCUUUCUAAGAAACAAGUCCAACUCGAGUCCACAAAUCUUUCCCUGAUAUCCUUCCCCUUUCAACAGUAAGCAUGGAUGCUUUCUUUUCUAUCUUUCCCGUUCAUAUUGUAUAUACUUAGCAAAGUCUCUCUUGCCAUGGCGGUAGUAGAUGCCAUUUUCCAGCCAAUAUGUGCCAAGUACAAGGUUAUUAUCAUGCACAUAUUUGGAUGAGAAAACAGAGGCUCAGGGAGCUGCUGCUGGAGAUGACCCAGAUGGUAAAUAGCAAAGCUACAGUUCAAAUGCCAGGCUUUCUUUCAAAGACAGUGCUGCUUCCAUUAUACCCUAGAGCCUUCCUUCACUAUUUUUAUGGGGAUAUAGGCAGAGAUGGUUCUUUUUCCUGUCUUUGUGCCUUAUGCCUGGCAGCCACUCAAAAUACAUCUAUUGAAUUGAAUUGAAUUUAUAUUAGGGGGAGAAAAAGGUAAUAUCACUUUUCCUAGCUCCUACUGGCAAAUCCUAAAAUGAUUGAUACUAUUCAGUAUUGGAGAGCAGGUAGAAGAAAAAUAAUCUCUUUAAUUCAUUGUUAAUGGGAGUGUUAAUUAAAGCAGUACUUUAGAACUGUCUAUUAGAAAAAAAAUAUGUACAUGCCCUGGCAUGCAAUUCUGCUUUUAGAACUUUCUUCCAGAGAAAUAAUUAGAAUCAAGUGCAGGGAUAUGUAUAUGGUGUAUUUAUUGCAGUAUUAUUUACGGUAGUAAAACCUUAUGCAGUCUAAGAGUUCAUCAAUAGGAAAAUGAGUAAAUACAUCAGGGGAUGUAGUAUGAUGGAGUAUUAUGCAGACAUUAAAAAGGUUAAUGUAAAUGUGUACGUACAAAGACAGAAAGGUAUUCACAAUAUAUCAGUGACUAGAUAAAAGCAAGUUUUGACAUGGUAAAUAGAGCACUUUCCUAUUUUCCUCAAAAUGAAAAAAAUCCCUCACCCUUUUAAAAUCCUCUCCUCCACAUACAUUCAUACAAAUGCAAACUGUUCAAAUUGACAAGUGAAUUUUUUUUAUCAGUAUAGUGGCUACAAUCCAAAGACAAGAACAAAUGCUAAGCAACCUACAUUCUAAGGAGAGCCACUAGCAACUGGCUGUGGCCACCCUCCUCUAAGCCAAGUUAGACCAAGCCAGAAUGGAUUCUAUUACCAUUAUACGUAUGCCUCCUUUUUCCCUCCUCUGGGCCAAAAACAAGAGUUGCUAAAGAAGCUAUUAGCCUUGUGAGGUAUACAGGGGUUGAAGUGAGAGGUUAUCAUUCCUCUUCUCAAGGGGGAGGGGAGCACAAGGGAGGACAAAGCUUACAGAAAAUCCCAUCUUAAGGUUAGAAGUGUGUGCUGUAAGGAGGAAUCACAGUAAUUUUCCCUGGAUGGAUGUCAGCUAGGAGAAAGGAGAACAGGAGGAAGAUAAGUGGAGGGAGUCAUGCCCCCGAGGUAGCUGGAGAGGAGAUGAGAGUGGAGGCUGGAGACAGGGCCUCUGCCAUACUAGGGGAUGGGGAGGCAGAGAGGGACAUAUCAGAGAGAUGUGUGGUGACUGUCACUAGCUAGAAACCAGCUAGAAGGAGUGACCGGAUGCCUCGAGGGGCUUCCAAUGCCUGGCAACUAACCACUCAUUUCCCCACACUGAAGCCACCAACCAUCUUCAUGGGGCUGACAGACAGACAGCAAGAUUGGUAAGUUUGUCUAACCAAAGAGAGAAAUGCAGUAUCACCAGUAAAGUAAGGACCUUUAAACUUUUCCACCCCUCCCUCCUCAUCCCUCUAAAACUGUUUUGUGAGUAGAAAAGGGAGAUGGGAUAUAUCUUGAAGCCAGGGAGUAUUGUUAUCCUCAAGUAGCUAGGACCAUACUUCUAGCUGGUGCUAAAAAAACGAGAUGCAUUCAUCAGUUUACCAGACAGAGACUUUUAAUAACUGAAGGUGGUUGAAAAUUAUAAAAGUGGACCUAGAUAUCAUUAAAGAAGGUUCUACCUGAAGGGAAAGUAAGAGCAACAUGACUUAGGUAUAGAUGGUUACUGGAAUUAAUAAAACCUCUCAUGCCUAUACCUAAUGGAUUGAGCCUCAGUAAACUGUACACACACACACACACAUAUAAAAGUAUGUACACAGAAAAUAUUCUAUAGUCUAGGGCAGAGGUCAGCAAACUCUUUCUGUAAAGGGCUUUGUAAGCCAUACAGGCUCUGUUGUGACUACUUAACGCUGACAUUGCAGUGCCAAAGCAGCCAUGGAUAAUAUGCACACAAAUGAGCAUGGCUCAUUUAAUAAAGUUCCGACAAAACUUUAUUUAUAAAAACAGGCAGUUGUCUAGUCUUGAUCAGUGGCUGUGCUUUGCCAACUUCUGUUCUAGAAGAACUAGCAGGACAUCCAUCACGAUGUUCCCUCAAGGACUGGGAGGCGUGCUCCAACACAAAUUGCAACGAAGAAGUGGGUCAACGGGAACCUUUUGAAAAAGUUUUUGGAGGCUGAGAAUGGAAACGGAUGUCACCAUCAAGUGCAGGGGAACCAGCCGCCUGUGAUUCCACUGGUGUUGAGCUAAACUGAAGGGCAAAAGCAACAGCAGGAAUCUAGAGCAGAAGGUAAGGUUUUUAGAGAGUGCUGAGUACAGAGAGACACAGCCUGGAUAAAGAAACCACAGUCUCCCUGAAAGGACGUAGUGGGUUCCAUGUGCUUUCCAAUGUCAGGUGAGGCAUCAUGGUCACUGUUGUCCAUGGUCACUUCCCUUCUGAGAGUGAGGAGUUCCUGUGUAGUCCACAGUGCCCUUCUGGGGCAAUCCAGGUCAUGUCAGUGGCCAGAUUCACCCAUGGCUAAGGCUUAGCCAUUGCCUUGUUCCCCAUGAUAGGCCCAGAAUGUAGUCAAAAGUAGUACAGACAAAGAAUCAAACAGAUCAGGGAACAGAUCCUGGCUCCAUCAGUGCCAUCACUGUGACUCUUGGAUAAAUUACUUAACCUCCUGAGCUACUCUCCUCAGUAGCAGUAGUGGCAGCAGCAACAAUCAACAUAAAUGUUUCCUAUGUACCAUUUUAGACACAUCAUUGAUGGUCUUCAAAAACUUCCUGCCAGAUAAAUACUGUUAAUAAUAAAUGCUAAAAAGGAGAUGAUACUAUCCCCCUGGCAGAAUUAUGUUGAGAAUCCAAGGAGUAGUGUGAACCUGGCACUAGGCAUGGAGCUAGAACAGUCAUCUACUGCAGGUCUCUGUGACUCUUUAGUAAGUUUCCAUAGGACAAUGUGCACAUUUCUCAGAUAACCAAUAAAAGAAGACAUUGUGGGCUAGGCCAGUGUUUCUGGAAGCCAGGUCUGCUGCCCAGGAUGGGAUUAUCCCCAACAUAUGGUUCAGGUUCUUCACAUUUCCUUCUUUUGCAUCGUCUAACAACUAAUCUUUUUUUGUGUCUUAAAAUCAAACUCUGCAAAGAGAAGAAUCUAAUUGGUCCAAUUUGUUCAUCACAGCCUGCUUACAAGCUUGAGUCAGAUGUUUUCUCCUGAUAAACCACCUGCCCCAAGAAUGACAUCGUCAUGAGGUGGGGACCACGGUAACCUGAGCAGAAAGAACCACCUUGGAUUGUACUCUCAGCAGGGAGCUUUGAGUUGAAACAAAUGGUGUUGCUGCUUCUUGAAAGUCCUUUGUUUUCCAUUUGCUUGGUAGAUCUUCCUGCAUCCCUUUAUUUUGAGCCUAUGUGUGUCUCUGCAUGUGAGACGG